AAAACUAGAAACUUCAAAAAAGAUUAAUAUUGACCCAAACUUCAUCAUUGAAUUUUGAGUGUUAUAUCUAAGAUUUCUCUCGCAGUAUAUCGUCCCGUAUUAAUAUCUUUUAUAUUGUUUAAAUUUCUUGUAAAAUUUAAUUUAUAAUUUUUUAAACUUUUUUAAGUUUCAAUUUUUUAAAAUAAAUAACCCUAGUAAACAAACCAUUUUAAUUUUGGACACCUCAUAAAUCAAGUUUCAUGCUCAUUCGUAAUCGAAAUCAUUUUGGUCCUUUUUAUAGUAUGGCUCUUGACCAUUGUCCAAUUUUUUUAAGCGAUGUGGGACAUUCUAAAAUCGUAAUUAUUAUCCACCCAAACCCGUCAUACCAUAUAACCCAGUCCCGUGAAAUUAAACAUAAUUUUGUCAUUUUCUUAUAAAUUUCAAUAUUAUAAAAUUUGAAACUUAAAAAAAUACAAUAUCGACCCAAAAUUCAUCAUUGAAUUUUGAUUGUUAUAUUUAAGAUUUUUUCUGUAAUAUAUCGUCUCGUAUUAAUAUAUUUUUUAUAUAUUUAUAAUGUUAAAUUUCUUGUAAAAUUCAAUUUAUAAUUUUUAAAACUUUAUAA
RNAcentral lists this small RNA (601 nucleotides) under Arabidopsis thaliana (thale cress). Its description in RNAcentral is "ATSL243950". Lineage: Eukaryota; Viridiplantae; Streptophyta; Magnoliopsida; Brassicales; Brassicaceae. The record is from RNAcentral.